UAUAAUUAUCAGCACCGUCCAAAUGUCAAACACUGAUACUUUUGAGAGGUGCAGGUAAUUAUA
This 63-nucleotide microRNA precursor is filed under the name Spodoptera frugiperda (fall armyworm). RNAcentral's name for it is "microRNA sfr-mir-10466 precursor". Lineage: Eukaryota; Metazoa; Arthropoda; Insecta; Lepidoptera; Noctuidae. The record is from miRBase by way of RNAcentral.